RNAcentral lists this ribosomal RNA (253 nucleotides) under uncultured bacterium. Its description in RNAcentral is "partial 16S ribosomal RNA". It matches the Rfam family "Bacterial small subunit ribosomal RNA", at positions 524 to 776 of the family's 1533-position model. The record is from RNAcentral.
UACGUAGGGUGCAAGCGUUGUCCGGAUUUAUUGGGUUUAAAGGGUGCGUAGGCGGCCCGUUAAGUCAGUGGUGAAAACCAGCAGCUCAACUGUUGAUGUGCCAAUGAUACUGGCGGGCUGGAGUACAGACGAGGUAGGCGGAAUUGACAGUGUAGCGGUGAAAUGCAUAGAUAUUGGCCAGAACACCGAUAGCGAAGGCAGCUUGCUAGCCUGUAACUGACGCUGAGGCGCGAAAGUGUGGGGAUCAAACAGG